RNAcentral lists this ribosomal RNA (293 nucleotides) under uncultured bacterium. RNAcentral describes it as "partial 16S ribosomal RNA". It matches the Rfam family "Bacterial small subunit ribosomal RNA", at positions 775 to 1067 of the family's 1533-position model. The record is from RNAcentral.
GGAUUAGAUACCCUGGUAGUCCACGCCGUAAACGAUGUCUACUAGCCGUUGGGAUCCUUGAGAUCUUAGUGGCGCAGCUAACGCACUAAGUAGACCGCCUGGGGAGUACGGUCGCAAGAUUAAAACUCAAAUGAAUUGACGGGGGCCCGCACAAGCGGUGGAGCAUGUGGUUUAAUUCGAUGCAACGCGAAGAACCUUACCUACACUUGACAUGCAGAGAACUUUCCAGAGAUGGAUUGGUGCCUUCGGGAACUCUGACACAGGUGCUGCAUGGCUGUCGUCAGCUCGUGUCG